RNAcentral lists this ribosomal RNA (255 nucleotides) under uncultured bacterium. RNAcentral's name for it is "partial 16S ribosomal RNA". It matches the Rfam family "Bacterial small subunit ribosomal RNA", at positions 524 to 776 of the family's 1533-position model. The record is from RNAcentral.
UACGUAGGGGGCGAGCGUUGUCCGGAUUUACUGGGCGUAAAGCGCGUGUAGGCGGGAAGCCUAAGUCCGAUCAUGAAAGGCCCCUGGCUCAACCAGGGAUCCGGACCGGAAACUGGGCUUCUUGAGGACGGCAGGGGAGUGUGGAAUUCCUGGUGUAGCGGUGAAAUGCGUAGAGAUCAGGAGGAACACCCAUGGCGAAGGCAGCACUCUGGACCGGACCUGACGCUGAGACGACGAAGCGUGGGAGCGAACGGG